Molecule: ribosomal RNA, 233 nt
Filed under: uncultured bacterium
Lineage: Bacteria
Description: partial 16S ribosomal RNA
Rfam family: Bacterial small subunit ribosomal RNA
Source: RNAcentral
CGGGGUGAGUAACGCGUGGAUAACCUGCCUCACACUGGGGGAUAACAGUUAGAAAUGACUGCUAAUACCGCAUAAGCGCACAGUACCGCAUGGUACAGUGUGAAAAAACUCCGGUGGUGUGAGAUGGAUCCGCGUCUGAUUAGCCAGUUGGCGGGGUAACGGCCCACCAAAGCGACGAUCAGUAGCCGACCUGAGAGGGUGACCGGCCACAUUGGGACUGAGACACGGCCCAA